RNAcentral lists this ribosomal RNA (301 nucleotides) under uncultured bacterium. RNAcentral describes it as "partial 16S ribosomal RNA". It matches the Rfam family "Bacterial small subunit ribosomal RNA", at positions 509 to 807 of the family's 1533-position model. The record is from RNAcentral.
CAGUAGCCACGGGAAUACGGAGGGAGCUAGCGUUGUUCGGAAUUACUGGGCGUAAAGCGCACGUAGGCGGCUACUCAAGUCGGGGGUGAAAGCCCGGGGCUCAACCCCGGAACUGCCCUCGAAACUAGGUAGCUAGAAUCUUGGAGAGGUCAGAGGAAUUCCGAGUGUAGAGGUGAAAUUCGUAGAUAUUCGGAAGAACACCAGUGGCGAAGGCGACUGACUGGACAAGUAUUGACGCUGAGGUGCGAAAGCGUGGGGAGCAAACAGGAUUAGAUACCCGCGUAGUCCCUGUCUCUUAUAC